Molecule: long non-coding RNA, 422 nt
Filed under: Mustela putorius furo (domestic ferret)
Lineage: Eukaryota; Metazoa; Chordata; Mammalia; Carnivora; Mustelidae
Description: lncRNA (ENSMPUG00000028472.1)
Source: RNAcentral
CUCAGCGCGCUGAGCUGUCUUGGCAGCUAAGAGGUUCUCGCUAAAUAUGUUUGAAUGUGUGCGCUGGGCAGACGGCCCCUGAGUACUGGCGACUGGACUUCUUCCUCUGAGUACGACAUGCUGCUGGGGGCUCAGCUGGGGCCUUUUGCCAGAUCUGGGCAGGGUCUGCUCAGCGGUUUUCGCUCCUGGGCUGAUGGACAAAUGCUGGGACUUUUUGAUCUGGGACUCUGACGGUGUCAUAGCAGAGGGAAAAGAGACGCCAUGACUCACUCACUGAUCCUCAGCACUUCUGUCUGGAAGUGACACCUGUCACUUCUGCUCACAUUUCAUUGGCCAAUGCAAGUCCUCUGGCUGAGCCUAAACUCUCCUGGGAGAGCAAAGGAUAAUUCUCCCCUGAUGACCAAAAAUAAAGUUUACCGCAG